UAUUGGUCAAUGGACGAGAGUCUGAACCAGCCAAGUAGCGUGAAGGAUGACUGCCCUAUGGGNUGUAAACUUCUUUUAUAUGGGANNCANNNANGGUAUGCAUACCCUCUUGUAUGUACCAUAUGAAUAANNNANGNCUAACUCCGUGCCAGCAGCCGCGGUAAUACGGAGGAUCCGAGCGUAUCCGGAUUUAUUGGGUUUAAAGGGAGCGUAGGCGGGUUGUUAAGUCAGUUGUGAAAGUUUGCGGCUCAACCGUAAAAUUGCAGUUGAUACUGGCAUCCUUGAGUACAGUAGAGGUAGGCGGAAUUCGUGGUGUAGCGGUGAAAUGCUUAGAUAUCACGAAGAACUCCGAUUGCGAAGGCAGCCUGCUGGACUGUAACUGACGCUGAUGCUCGAAAGUGUGGGUAUCAAACAG
RNAcentral lists this ribosomal RNA (415 nucleotides) under uncultured bacterium. Its description in RNAcentral is "partial 16S ribosomal RNA". It matches the Rfam family "Bacterial small subunit ribosomal RNA", at positions 362 to 775 of the family's 1533-position model. The record is from RNAcentral.